This 401-nucleotide long non-coding RNA is filed under the name Chinchilla lanigera (long-tailed chinchilla). RNAcentral describes it as "lncRNA (ENSCLAG00000028784.1)". The record is from RNAcentral. Lineage: Eukaryota; Metazoa; Chordata; Mammalia; Rodentia; Chinchillidae.
CAAAAAGUAGUCAUUAUUUUUAUUUCACAGAUGAAGAAACUGCAGCUCAGAGUGGGAAAGGCCCAAUAGUUCGUAAGUCAGUGUUUUGCACUAUGAUCUGGAAGCAGAACUGUUGUCCACAAUAUGAGUGGUUGUGGAAGUCAGAAGACAGCGAGGAUGGAGUUGGACACCAAAAACGAUACCAAAGGGCCAGAGGGAGAAGGUGGUCAAGGCUUUGAAUGUCUCAGCCAAAGGCUGGCCAGGAUGAUGACGAGAACAGUCCAAGGCAGCUUCCACCUUCAGCUGCAUAGGAAACAACCUUGUAAAGUAUGUCUGUCGGAAAAGCACACAAUUAAACUAUACCAUCACCCAAUGUCCCUCUUGUUCCUCACAGGGCUGAUGCUAAGGACAUGAUCAGUCUU